This 632-nucleotide long non-coding RNA is filed under the name Helianthus annuus (common sunflower). The record is from RNAcentral. Lineage: Eukaryota; Viridiplantae; Streptophyta; Magnoliopsida; Asterales; Asteraceae.
UUCAGUUUCCUCCAAAACUAUUCACAUUCUAAACCCUAAGUGUGCCCCCAUAUUUGACAUCUCUCUAGUGAUAAUUGCGAAGGCUUCUCCGACGGAAUCUUUGCCACAGACCCGUAGUGAAGACGGAGAACCCACAUGCGAAGAUGGACGUCUUGUUCGCAAAGUUGCCACUUAGUUCAACCACAUUAAGAUCCGUUCCGUCAAGUGGAGGUACUCAUCUUUGAUUGCUGUAAAUUGAUUUUAGUUUUCUCAAUUCGUCAUUCUCAGAGUAAAGGUAAAUAUAUUUUGAUUCUGUUAAUCUAAAGCCUAAAUUAUAGCUACAGUCUCCGUUACCCCAUACAAAAGUUAUUGGCAUCGUUGAACCCAAUCUAUGCUACUAGAUUUCAACCAGUUCCUUCACCCAUAAUUAUGGCCUUGUUGGAUGGAGGUAACCAUUUAAAAGAGGGAGAGGCGGUUGCCUCACAGCCACCCUAUGCAACUUAUAAAGUAGCCAUAGUUUAUUAGAUGUUUUUUUGCCAUUCAUUCAUGUAACUGUUGUUUGUUAGCAGACCAUAUGUUUCUAGUUCUAUUUUUGGUUUCUAACGCGAUAUUUAAUCUUAGAAUGAAUGUAAUUCUAUGAAAGGGUGGAGUAG